GUGUCAGCCGCCGCGGUAAUACGGAGGGUGCGAGCGUUGUUCGGAAUCACUGGGCGUAAAGCGCGUGUAGGCGGCCUGUUAAGUCUGAUGUGAAAGCCCGGGGCUCACCCCCGGAAGUGCAUUGGAAACUGUCAGGCUCGAGUCCCGGAGAGGAGGGUGGAAUUCCUGGUGUAGCGGUGAAAUGCGUAGAUAUCAGGAGGAACACCGGUGGCGAAGGCGGCCCUCUGGACGGUGACUGACGCUGAGACGCGAAAGCGUGGGGAGCAAACAGGAUUAGAUACCCUCGUAGUCC
RNAcentral lists this ribosomal RNA (292 nucleotides) under uncultured bacterium. Its description in RNAcentral is "partial 16S ribosomal RNA". It matches the Rfam family "Bacterial small subunit ribosomal RNA", at positions 505 to 796 of the family's 1533-position model. The record is from RNAcentral.